This 35-nucleotide small RNA is filed under the name Salix viminalis (osier). The record is from RNAcentral. Lineage: Eukaryota; Viridiplantae; Streptophyta; Magnoliopsida; Malpighiales; Salicaceae.
UUGAGAAAUUCUUCCUCUUAAAACCCCCCUCUAAG